CCUACGGGGGGCAGCAGUGAGGAAUAUUGGUCAAUGGGCGAAAGCCUGACGGAGCAACGCCGCGUGAUCGAAUGAAGGCCUUCGGGUUGUAAAGAUCUGUUGACAGGGACGAAUAAGCCAUGCGAAUAGUUUUUUGUAUGACGCUACCUGUUUAGAAAGCGCCGGCUAACUACGUGCCAGCAGCCGCGGUAAUACGUAGGGAGCAAGCGUUGUCCGGAAUUACUGGGCGUAAAGGGCGCGUAGGUGGGCGCUUAAGUCAGGUGUGAAACGUCCGGGCUCAACCCGGGGACUGCAGUUGAAACUGGGUGUCUUGAGGGCAGGAGAGGAAAGUGGAAUUCCUAGUGUAGCGGUGAAAUGCGUAGAUAUUAGGAGGAACACCAGUGGCGAAGGCGACUUGCUGGACUGUAACUGACGCUGAGGCGCGAAAGCGUGGGUAGCGAACGGGAUUAGAUACCCUUGUAGUC
RNAcentral lists this ribosomal RNA (464 nucleotides) under uncultured bacterium. Its description in RNAcentral is "partial 16S ribosomal RNA". It matches the Rfam family "Bacterial small subunit ribosomal RNA", at positions 338 to 795 of the family's 1533-position model. The record is from RNAcentral.